RNAcentral lists this ribosomal RNA (253 nucleotides) under Anaerostipes hadrus ATCC 29173 = JCM 17467. Its description in RNAcentral is "Anaerostipes hadrus DSM 3319 partial 16S ribosomal RNA". It matches the Rfam family "Bacterial small subunit ribosomal RNA", at positions 524 to 776 of the family's 1533-position model. Lineage: Bacteria; Bacillati; Bacillota; Clostridia; Lachnospirales; Lachnospiraceae. The record is from RNAcentral.
UACGUAGGGGGCAAGCGUUAUCCGGAAUUACUGGGUGUAAAGGGUGCGUAGGUGGUAUGGCAAGUCAGAAGUGAAAACUCAGGGCUUAACUCUGGGACUGCUUUUGAAACUGUCAGACUGGAGUGCAGGAGAGGUAAGCGGAAUUCCUAGUGUAGCGGUGAAAUGCGUAGAUAUUAGGAGGAACAUCAGUGGCGAAGGCGGCUUACUGGACUGAAACUGACACUGAGGCACGAAAGCGUGGGGAGCAAACAGG